RNAcentral lists this ribosomal RNA (262 nucleotides) under uncultured bacterium. RNAcentral describes it as "partial 16S ribosomal RNA". It matches the Rfam family "Bacterial small subunit ribosomal RNA", at positions 524 to 778 of the family's 1533-position model. The record is from RNAcentral.
UACGGAGGGGGCAAGCGUUGUUCGGAAUUACUGGGCGUAAAGGGCGCGCAGGCGGCUGCUCAAGUCAGGCGUGAAAGGCCUGGGCUCAACCCGGGGAAUUGCGCCUUGAGACUGGGCUGGCUUGAGUGCGGGAGAGGAUGGUGGAAUUCCCGAGUGUGAGGUGAAAUUCGUAGAUAUUGGGAAGAACACCGGGUGGCGAAGGCGGCCAUCUGGGACCGCAACUGGACGCUGAGGCGCGAAAGCGUGGGGGAGCAAAGCAGGG